This 294-nucleotide long non-coding RNA is filed under the name Cebus imitator (Panamanian white-faced capuchin). RNAcentral describes it as "lncRNA (ENSCCAG00000038239.1)". Lineage: Eukaryota; Metazoa; Chordata; Mammalia; Primates; Cebidae. The record is from RNAcentral.
UUUCUUUUCCAGGAUGGCGGGCCCUGGAGAGUGGGGUGGCCCCGGGACGCUCGGGAUGUCGCCUUAGCUGCCAAGACAGCCCAGUCUAGCGACGCCAAAACCCGCCGCCCAGCGACUCCACGGCACUGGCGCAGCCCUAGGCAUCCGUCACCCUUGGACCUUCUCCCCAUCCCUUCUCUACCAGAAGCUGCACUCUGGAACAGCGUUGUCAUCCAUCAUUACAGCUGCACAGUAGAAGCCAGAAAAGGGCAGAGAAUCACCCUGGUUGACCUCAGGAGCACAAAUCCCCUCUGA